RNAcentral lists this long non-coding RNA (264 nucleotides) under Musa acuminata (dwarf banana). RNAcentral describes it as "long non-coding RNA (MACU_LNC002195)". The record is from RNAcentral. Lineage: Eukaryota; Viridiplantae; Streptophyta; Magnoliopsida; Zingiberales; Musaceae.
CCGCAGUAGUUGAGGAGGAGGGUGAGAUCGACGUCGACGUUGAGGCUGAUGCCCAAGAUGUUGGCCUUGAUGGCGGUGCAGAGGCACAAGGCGGCUUCGAAGUCGGCGAGGCCCUCGAUGAGGCUACAGCAGGGUUUCUUGGGCGGGGUGCCGAUCUGGAGGUUGAUGAGGCCGCCGAGCACGUUGGCGCAGGCGCCCAGCUUGACCGUGUCGAUGGGACAGGAUGGCAUGCCGGGUUUGGGAGUCGGUUUGGGUCUGGGCGAA